UACGUAGGGUGCGAGCGUUGUCCGGAAUUACUGGGCGUAAAGAGCUCGUAGGUGGUUUGUCGCGUUGUUCGUGAAAUCUCACGGCUUAACUGUGAGCGUGCGGGCGAUACGGGCAGACUAGAGUACUGCAGGGGAGACUGGAAUUCCUGGUGUAGCGGUGGAAUGCGCAGAUAUCAGGAGGAACACCGGUGGCGAAGGCGGGUCUCUGGGCGAGUAACUGACGCUGAGGAGCGAAAAGCGUGGGGAGCGAACAGGG
Molecule: ribosomal RNA, 256 nt
Filed under: uncultured bacterium
Lineage: Bacteria
Description: partial 16S ribosomal RNA
Rfam family: Bacterial small subunit ribosomal RNA
Source: RNAcentral